UCCAACUGAGUCAAAUGUCGUGCCGAUAGUGGGAGUGACCACAUGGUCUCUUGGAUUCUCAGCAUAGUUCCGAACAGCCUUCUCAAAUGCACUGACACGGUUUGGGCAAGGCAGGCGGCUAGGUGCAACUGCUCCGAUCAGCAACCUGCAAAUUAGAUAGGACAUACUUACAUACAAUUCAGUCACCAAGUACCUAGUUCAACCUACACAGCAGAAAAACACAGAGCAACAACUUGGGAAAUAACUCUAAUUUCAUACAGACCUUCAUUAAAGCUAAACCGCCAAGUGCCAAUCAAAUAAACAGGGCAAAGAUCAGCUAUGCUAUCUACAGUGCUAUCCUUUCAGCCGAGCCUCCUACUACUCGUAUACAUUCGGUUCUAACACCCAUUCAAAUUCAUUUGGUACAAGAUAUUCUACCAUUCUUGGUAAUAAUUGAAAAAACAUCUAGUUGCAGUUGCUGAGGCACAGCUGCAAUGCACGAAACUCUUAUUCCAGCCUGGAGCUCGUGGGUUCAUCUUCCCGGUUGAAAGCUCAGAGAUUGGUGGAGAUGUGUCUCUCCUCUCCGCCCCUGCUUCACUCACCAUCAUCAUCUGUGCCUCCCCUGUGUCAAGCGGCUGAUCCUCCGCCCCCAACUGCUUUGCUGCUAUUUCCUCCAACGGAAACUGUGGCUGAACGACUAUAC
RNAcentral lists this long non-coding RNA (682 nucleotides) under Triticum aestivum (bread wheat). RNAcentral's name for it is "long non-coding RNA (TAES_LNC004910)". The record is from RNAcentral. Lineage: Eukaryota; Viridiplantae; Streptophyta; Magnoliopsida; Poales; Poaceae.